Molecule: ribosomal RNA, 425 nt
Filed under: uncultured bacterium
Lineage: Bacteria
Description: bacterial SSU rRNA
Rfam family: Bacterial small subunit ribosomal RNA
Source: RNAcentral
UUAGGGAAUUUUGACAAUGGGCGCAAGCCUGAUCGAGUGACGCCGCGUGCGGGACGAAGCCUUUCGGGGUGUAAACCGCUUUUCUCUGGGGAGAGGCAGGACGGUACCAGAGGAAGAAGCAUCGGCUAACUACGUGCCAGCAGCCGCGGUAAUACGUAGGAUGCGAGCGUUGUCCGGAAUUACUGGGCGUAAAGAGCGCGUAGGCGGUUUCUCGCGUGGGUUGUGAAAGCCCCUGGCUUACCUAGGGGAGUGCAGUCCAAACGGGGGAACUAGAGGGCGGUAGGGGCUGGCGGAAUGCCUGGAGUAGCGGUGAAAUGCGUUGAGAUCAGGCAGAACACCAGUGGCGAAGGCGGCCAGCUGGGCCGCACCUGACGCUGAGGCGCGAAAGCUAGGGGAGCGAACGGAAUUAGAUACCCCCGUAGUCC